GACGAACGCUGGCGGCGUGCUUAACACAUGCAAGUCGAACGGAAAGGCCCUGCUUUUGUGGGGUGCUUGAGUGGCGAACGGGUGAGUAACACGUGAGUAACCUGCCCUUGACUUUGGGAUAACUUCAGGAAACUGGGGCUAAUACCGGAUAGGAGCUCCUGCUGCAUGGUGGGGGUUGGAACGUUUCGGCGGUUGGGGAUGGACUCGCGGCUUAUCGGCUUGUUGGUGGGGUAGUGGCUUACCAAGGCUUUGACGGGUAGCCGGCCUGAGAGGGUGACCGGCCACAUUGGGACUGAGGUACGGCCCAGACUCCUACGGGGGGCAACAGUGGAGAAUAUUACACAAUGAGCGGAAGCCUAGUGCAGCGACGCCGCGUGCGGGAUGACGGCCUUCGGGUUGUAAACCGCUUUCGCCUGAGACGAAGCGUGAGUGACGGUAAUGGGUAAAGAAGCACCGGCUAACUACGUG
RNAcentral lists this ribosomal RNA (468 nucleotides) under uncultured bacterium. RNAcentral's name for it is "partial 16S ribosomal RNA". It matches the Rfam family "Bacterial small subunit ribosomal RNA", at positions 28 to 507 of the family's 1533-position model. The record is from RNAcentral.